GGAGGCAGCAGUGGGGAAUAUUGCACAAUGGGCGCAAGCCUGAUGCAGCCAUGCCGCGUGUAUGAAGAAGGCCUUCGGGUUGUAAAGUACUUUCAGCAGUGAGGAAGGGGGUGUCGUUAAUAGCGGCAUCUCUUGACGUUAGCUGCAGAAGAAGCACCGGCUAACUCCGUGCCAGCAGCCGCGGUAAUACGGAGGGUGCGAGCGUUAAUCGGAAUUACUGGGCGUAAAGCGCAUGCAGGUGGUUUGUUAAGUCAGAUGUGAAAGCCCGGGGCUCAACCUCGGAACUGCAUUUGAAACUGGCAAACUAGAGUACUGUAGAGGGGGGUAGAAUUUCAGGUGUAGCGGUGAAAUGCGUAGAGAUCUGAAGGAAUACCAGUGGCGAAGGCGGCCCCCUGGACAGAUACUGACACUCAGAUGCGAAAGCGUGGGGAGCAAACAGGAUUAGAUACCCUGGUAGUCCACGCCGUAAACGAUGUCUACUUGGAGGUUGUGGCCUUGAGCCGUGGCUUUCGGAGCUAACGCGUUAAGUAGACCGCCUGGGGAGUACGGUCGCAAGAUUAAAACUCAAAUGAAUUGACGGGGGCCCGCACAAGCGGUGGAGCAUGUGGUUUAAUUCGAUGCAACGCGAAGAACCUUACCUACUCUUGACAUCCAGAGAACUUCCAGAGA
Molecule: ribosomal RNA, 669 nt
Filed under: Vibrio sp.
Lineage: Bacteria; Pseudomonadati; Pseudomonadota; Gammaproteobacteria; Vibrionales; Vibrionaceae
Description: bacterial SSU rRNA
Rfam family: Bacterial small subunit ribosomal RNA
Source: RNAcentral